UCGAAUGGCUCAUUAUAUCAGUUAUAGUUUAUUUGAUAAUAAUUUUUUACUAAUUGGAUAACCGUAGUAAUUCUAGAGCUAAUACAUGCAUUAAAAUCCUAACUAUAUUUAUAUAGAAAGGAUGUAUUUAUUAGAUGAAAAACCAAUAUUAAAAAAAUAAUGGUGAAUCAUAAUAACUUAUCGAAUCGUAUGGUUGUAAAAUACUAACGAUAAAUCAUUCAAGUUUCUGCCCUAUCAGCUUUCGAUGGUAGUGUAUUGGACUACCAUGGCAGUAACGGGUAACGAAGAA
This 289-nucleotide ribosomal RNA is filed under the name Blastocystis sp. subtype 15. RNAcentral describes it as "partial small subunit ribosomal RNA". It matches the Rfam family "Eukaryotic small subunit ribosomal RNA", at positions 91 to 369 of the family's 1831-position model. Lineage: Eukaryota; Bigyra; Opalinata; Blastocystidae. The record is from RNAcentral.